Long non-coding RNA from Helianthus annuus (common sunflower), 268 nucleotides. RefSeq lists it as uncharacterized. Lineage: Eukaryota; Viridiplantae; Streptophyta; Magnoliopsida; Asterales; Asteraceae. The record is from RefSeq and is a predicted model, not a curated record. The transcript has 4 exons.
AGUUCAAAGAUGAUUGGGAUAAAAAAACUGAACCGCAAGGCAAAGCAAGGGUUGUUUGUGAUGAAGAUUUAACUUUAAAGGACAAAAGCAAGUUUGAGACGGAUCUGGACAAAUUUUUGAUACCCAAGAACAAGUCCCAUGUUGAUCCUACAGGGAAAACAAAUGUUGUUUUUUCUGAACCGAGUCUGUGCUCCACAUUUGUUUCUGAUGCCAUUCCGAAAUAUACAGUUGAUGUUGCUCAAAGUGUUUUGCCGAGAAAGAGGAAGGU